Molecule: unclassified non-coding RNA, 320 nt
Filed under: uncultured fungus
Lineage: Eukaryota; Fungi
Description: partial contains 5.8S ribosomal RNA and internal transcribed spacer 2
Rfam family: 5.8S ribosomal RNA (bases 1-133)
Source: RNAcentral
UGGCUCUGGCAUCGAUGAAGAACGCAGCGAAAUGCGAUAAGUAAUGUGAAUUGCAGAAUUCAGUGAAUCAUCGAAUCUUUGAACGCACAUUGCGCCCCCUGGUAUUCCGGGGGGCAUGCCCGUCCGAGCGUCAUUUCACCACUCAAGCCUCGCUUGGUCUUGGGCGCCGCGGUCCCCGCGCGCCUCGAAAUCUCCGGCCCUGUCGUCUGUUUCCGAGCGUUGCGGACUCACGUUUCCGCUCCGGCCUAACCGACGGUAGCCGGCCGACAGAACCCCUUUAUCAACAGGUUGACCUCGGAUCGGGUGGGGAUACCCGCUGA